RNAcentral lists this ribosomal RNA (696 nucleotides) under uncultured bacterium. RNAcentral describes it as "bacterial SSU rRNA". It matches the Rfam family "Bacterial small subunit ribosomal RNA", at positions 185 to 883 of the family's 1533-position model. The record is from RNAcentral.
GAGGCAUCUCUCCGGGUUGAAAACUCCGGUGGUUAUAGAUGGACAUGCGUUGUAUUAGCUAGUUGGUGAGGUAACGGCUCACCAAGGCAACGAUACAUAGGGGGACUGAGAGGUUAACCCCCCACACUGGUACUGAGACACGGACCAGACUCCUACGGGAGGCAGCAGUGAGGAAUAUUGGUCAAUGGACGCAAGUCUGAACCAGCCAUGCCGCGUGCAGGAAGACGGCUCUAUGAGUUGUAAACUGCUUUUGUACGAGGGUAAACUCACCUACGUGUAGGUGACUGAAAGUAUCGUACGAAUAAGGAUCGGCUAACUCCGUGCCAGCAGCCGCGGUAAUACGGAGGAUUCAAGCGUUAUCCGGAUUUAUUGGGUUUAAAGGGUGCGUAGGCGGUUUGAUAAGUUAGAGGUGAAAUCCCGGGGCUUAACUCCGGAACUGCCUCUAAUACUGUUAGACUAGAGAGUAGUUGCGGUAGGCGGAAUGUAUGGUGUAGCGGUGAAAUGCUUAGAGAUCAUACAGAACACCGAUUGCGAAGGCAGCUUACCAAACUAUAUCUGACGUUGAGGCACGAAAGCGUGGGGAGCAAACAGGAUUAGAUACCCUGGUAGUCCACGCAGUAAACGAUGAUAACUCGUUGUCGGCGAUACACAGUCGGUGACUAAGCGAAAGCGAUAAGUUAUCCACCUGGGGAGUAC